Contarinia nasturtii (swede midge) is the source of this 2183-nucleotide RNA transcript. It is a transcript of the gene named toll-like receptor 13, with no coding region annotated. The transcript is spliced from 3 exons. The record is from RefSeq and is a predicted model, not a curated record. Lineage: Eukaryota; Metazoa; Arthropoda; Insecta; Diptera; Cecidomyiidae.
AAAUGUUUCAGUCUUUUGCUGAAAUAAUUAUUUUUUAAAAGUGAAAAAAAGAAAAAUACUAUAUUUUUAUCAAUCAGAUCAAUAUUUUGAUAGUUUUUUUAAUAUUCAAAAUGCGACUGUUGCUGGUGUUUUAUUUGUAUUCAUCAUUAACAUCAUACAUAUUCUCGUUCAACAUUACCGAUCUUGCCGAUUGUCGCAUAAGUGAUUUUGGAACACUCAAAGAAAAACUGAUCGAUGAUACUCAUUCUUGUGACUUGAAAUAUUUAUAUCAUAUUUGUAACUGGAGAAAUUUAUCUAGACUUUAUUUCGAGGAACAUUCGUUAACAGCACUUCCACGUCAUUUUCUAUGGAACUGCCAUAAUUUAACCGAUUUAUAUCUAAGCGGUAAUAAAAUAAAAAAAAUUGCAAGAGAUGCAUUUGAUAAGUUGACAUCAUUAGCCUAUUUGGAUUUAUCAAAUAAUCAAAUCAAAAGAUUACAUGAAGAUACUUUUAAGCCAUUGAAAGAAUUAGAGUAUCUACUUUUACAACAAAAUAAUAUUCAAGUGAUCGAUUCCAAUUUAUUUAACCAUAAUACAAAGAUAUUUAGGCUAUAUUUGAAUAAUAACGAUUUAAGAAUCAUUGGAGAUGGGGCAUUUCGGAUGAUUCCAACUUUGGGAAGUCUUGAUAUUUCCAGUAAUCGUCACUUGAAGAGUAUUGAUUUAACCAAUAUUUCGCGUGGAGGUUCAGUUUUAAAGGAUUUAAGCGUGAAUCUAAGUAACUGUACCUUAAAAAAAUUGUUCAUUCCAAUGAAUGUAGUUGAGCUUAGCGUCUGCAGAAAUCACAUAACAUCUAUCAAUGCUCAUCCGAAUAAUCGAUUGAAAGUUCUGAACCUAGAUAAUAAUCAUUUAUCUACCAUCCUCCAUUUAAAAUUGCCAUAUUUGACUCAGUUACUUAUUGGAAGAAGAAAUCGUAUAUCAAUCAGCGAUACUUACGGCUUUAAACAACUAACGUAUUUGAACUUUGAUUUAAAUUCGAAACAAAACAUAAAUAUUACUGAAAUAGGAAAGAAUUUACCAUUGCUUCAAGACGUUUUCAUAACAUCUACAGACAUGAGCACUGAACAACAAACACGAAUUAUCAACGAUUUUAAACAAUACAAUGUUUAUUGUUACGUUGAUACAUGUUUUGAUUACGAAUAAGACGAAAUAAAAUUAUAAAUAUUCAGUAUUUUAGUUAUAGUCACGUAAAUAAUUAUUAUCUAGAAGUAACACUGUUUUUAAUUAUGUUUUUGUAUCAGCUCUUUUACCAACACAUUUAUUUAUUUUCCGUCUUCAAAUAUUGUGAACACCUUUUGAGACACGUUUCGCUUACCUUGCAUUUAUCAAAUUUAUCAUUUAAUCAGUUUGUCACGUUUAAACUAACAUCUCUUUCCAUAUAAGUAGCCAUUAGGUCACUAUUUUAAUAAAUUCAGUUUCUAGUUUCAAAUUGUAAAGAGUCAUUUCAUACCAGCCGUCGAGAUAGAGAUUUUCGUUUUUAUGUUUCUUCUUCUCACAACAUCACAAACAACAGCUCAAGAGCCAAUCUUAGGAAUAUCGCCUCAUCUUAUUGAAGAGAUGUCUCAAUAUCAUGAAAACUACGAUGAAGGUAAAGUCGUUACCCAAAUAUUCGAACAAUUCUUCGGAUGUAACAACGUAUUUCACAUCAGCCAACAUUUUCAACCUCAGCCAGAUGGAGAAGGAACACUUGGUCUGGUUUAUGAUUGCUUCUGUAUGGAAGAAUUUCUGAAAAAUUUGUCAUCUUUGUAUCACUAUUUCGGUUCUGAAAAUGCGCAUAAAGAAGGAAGCACCUUUUCGGAAUCACAUAAAAAAUGUUGGAGAAAAAUGAAACCAAUCAUCCAAUGUCGAUUGUAUGUAUCUGUAGGAGUCGAUAGAUCAAGCCGUUGUAUACAAUACUAUGUAGUUCCAAAUGGUAAACCAACAUGGCAAAAAAUUGACGCCCCAGUAUACAAGCUGCUCUAUUGGAACCAUACGAAAAUAAUAUUGACACCAACAACUAGCUAGUAGUUCUAAUCAUGUGACACAUUUUUCUUGUUUAAUUCCCCUGUGCUUUAUAUUUUUUUAAAUAUUUUUUUUUGUUCAUGAUUUUUUGCGCACAACAUUUAUUCAAAAUCAAAAUGAUUAAAUCAACUUAGCACAAAUUGUCUC